Pezoporus occidentalis (night parrot) is the source of this 2031-nucleotide long non-coding RNA. RefSeq lists it as uncharacterized. NCBI's taxonomy places the organism in Eukaryota, Metazoa, Chordata, Aves, Psittaciformes, Psittacidae. The record is from RefSeq and is a predicted model, not a curated record. The transcript is spliced from 2 exons.
CUGGCGUCUUAAACUUAGGAAUAACAGCGCUGUUUUGGUGUGCAUGUAAAGAAAUGCACGGGCACUGCAGUAUCUGAAGGCUGAGCCUCCGUCCGUGUUACUGCCAGGUUCUAACAGAGAUUGAAAAGAUCCUCACCUAGGGGGAAUUAACAAAGCUCCACUGAAACGGUGUUAAUUUAGACCAGAGAUUGGGCUGGGGCCAAACUGCUCAACACAUUCGGGAAUCGUCCCCCAAAACAAAAGUCUAGCCCAUUGUUCCUAAACCCUUAUUAGCAGCAGAGCCUUCACGGCUUGUUCCAUUUCCUCCCCAUUCUGCUAAUGCUCCUCUAAAUCCAGAACAAUAACAGAGCUGCUGAGAUUUUGUUCUUCUAAUGCUUUUCAGCGUUUUGCUUUUAGUUGCCUGCAGUGGGAUCUUGUCCCUGCUGUGUACCCAACAAGACAGCGGGGUCGAUGACGGAAGCCCAGCCUGUCAGAUCUGCCGCACAGCCUCGGCUCCAUUGGCAUGACUGGCCUGAAAUGAAAUCACUUUGAGUUUUAUGUGGCCUCUUCCUUGUCAAAAUCCCAGUGAAUGUGGUUAUGUGAUGCCAUUGGAAUGACUCAUUGCCAUAAUUACAUAUGUUCUAAGGGGUUAUUCCCAUUGUAUUCUUAAAAACUAGUGAUGUUUGAUUUUUGGCAGGGGCUGUCUUCCUUGUGUGAUCUACAGAUUUUGUCAAUUAAAUGAAGGAAAAGGAGAUCUCCAAGGCUUCAGAGCAAGACUGGGCUUGAAAUGAGAGCACUUCUUCAGCAUGCAAUUGAGCUACUUGGUUUUAACAGGGUAAAGGCAACAUCGGCCAUCUUACUCUCCCUGUUGCAGUGAUUCCAUGCAGAACACAAGGACAGAAGUGGGUUUCUUAGCCAGCCUUCAAAAUCAUCCCAAGCAUGGCCAGAAGAUACAGUAGAUGGUUUAUCACCACGGCAGUUUUCCCAGCUCAGCUCCUCAGGAAUGGGUUUUCAGGGAUAGAGCUCACAAGAGCUGAGGCAGGGCUCCUUGGCAACAAGCUCCAGGUUUGAUGGCUCCUUAACAGAACAAAACAAAGUGAUCCCAGAUACGGUUGCCUUGGACCUGGACUUCCCAAAAUGGUGAUGGAAAGCAACAGGGGGAAGCUGGAGGGAGGAGAAAUCUGAUCUUUCUGACAGGAAUGAAGUGGUUACUAGCAAUAGAAGCUAAAGCAUUUAUGUACAAAUGCUUAGUUUUGUGAUUUUAUUUUAAUAGUCAUGAAAAGUGAUUUCUUUUGUGGAAAACCAAACAUUAGCUUUGUGUGGCACAGGAUUUGACAUGGCCUUUUGGCCUAAAUGCCAGGUUCUAACCAGGCAUUUGAGCUUGUGUAGGAAAUAACAAUAUAUUAUCUGCCCGACUGCCUCUGUUUUCCCACUAAGAUCCUGCUACUCUUUGAAAAUCAUGGAGAUUCUGGCAAGCAGCUCCAUCUAAAUGAUGGUUUGGCAUUCAGCUGGGUAUAAUAUGUGUAUAAAUGCCAUUGGUGUGAUUUAUUUAUGGCGACUGGUUAAAUACAGCUGGUAUUUCUGUAGUUUUAGUAGAGAUUUUAAACUGAUUAUACCUAACAUCUCUCUCUGAGAGCACUAUUGACUUAAUACAAUCUGUAAAUACAUGUAAAAUCUCCCUUUUAGUGAUCUCAGGCAAUGUAAUCCAAAUAGUAGCAUUAGGGGUAACCUGUUUCCCUAUCCUACUCUGUUUCCUUUAAUCAAAGCAGAGAUUUCUUCUGAGUGAGAAAUCUUUUUAACAUAAACAUGAGCUAAAAAGUGUAUACAUUGCCUCCAUCUCCAUGGGGGUAGAAAGCUGGUAAAUUCUUGUUUGAGGAGUAUACGUGCACCCAUUUAACUUGACUGUAGCUGAUGAAAACUACAGAUUUAUAUUACACAGAGAGGGUAAGAACAUAAUACAACCGACCUGUCUUUGGGGGAAUUUGUCUGCUUUAGCUCCUAAAUCUUCAUGAAUGAGAUAGAAAUUAAACAGUUCCAAACCCAUGAUUGUAA